CAGCACUGAUUUUGUCUCCUGCUGCUCCUGAUGGGACUCCUUGGAUGGGGCCCUGCACUGACACAUCACUUCACCUUGUCUGGCUGUCACUGGACUGUCACCACACUGUGGGGCUGUGUUUUGCUGGAGAAAUAGCCAAGUAUUGCUGUGAUACAUCCAGAGAGACAAGGAGGUCAUCAUGCCUACCACCUUCAGGGAGAUGCUGGUACCCAGAUAUGUUUGCUCUAGAAAAAGCACCAGCUCCUUUUGCUACCAGAUGUCCUCUUUGGCAGUUUGAGUCAACGAGGAGCGAAGUGAUGAAGAAUGAAUGCAGUCUUCAACCGGAGGCCUCAGGUCCCAAGCGGCAGCGGUGGAGGCAGCAGAAGGGAAGUUCUCUAUUGCUGCUGCCUGCUGGGGUUUGGAGUUGAUGUCAGUUCCUACUUACGUUGCUUGUCACCAGAAUCCACCAGAGCCACUUGUGUGAAUCUUCUCAUGUUCAGCAAACUUCCUCUGUUGGCUCCACACAGGUCUCCUGGAGUGCUGCUUGCAACCUUCACUGAGGGGUCUGUGGGUAUGAAGGCUAUGUGUCAUUUUACUUCAGCACCACUAUAACCUUGGGCAGCAAAAGUUCCCUCCAGCUUUCAUUUCACUUACAGCAACAGUGCUAAAUAGGAUUGCCCCAAAUGGUCAGCUCUGGACUUAGCAAACUGAUUUAAGGGCUGGUGACUCUCAGAUUUCAGCAUCAUUUAGAUGUGUUUUUGUUGUUGUGUGUGUUUGUUUUAAUGUAUUCAUUUUUGAAGUAUUUGCAUUUCCUGCACAAGACUUGGAUUUCAAUGUUUCAGUUUUCUGGAACGCUUUCUCCCAUUCAGCUUAAGAUAACUUAAAGAAGACAAAUUUGCUUCUGUGCUUUAAUCCAGAGGCUUAAGUAGGUAUAAAAAGACUGCAUGCAGUGACCCCCAGGAAUUCAGUUAUGUGACUUAGACUUGGAACAGCCAAAUUCUCUCCCUGCCCCUUCCCUAGACUUUGCCAUCAUAAAAUCUGCAGCUAUUCUGCACUUGUUACUGUGAUCGAAUGCUCCCUAGCAGUCUGGAAAAUAUGGCCAUCAUGUGUAAGCGCUUACUACGGUAAGCUUGGUACUUAGCGUUGCCACAUCAAGGAAGCUAAUCCUCUAUAAAGCAGCUGCUUCCCUCAGCUCUGCUAGCAAAAACGUCCUUGGGCUUUAGCUUUGUGUUACAUCUCCACGCCUGUUGCGGGAUACGACGGUGGCAGCAGUAAUUACGAACUAGACCCUCACGAGUCCGAAUGGCAGAUGCGUGCACCUUCCCCCACUAACAUCUCCCAGGACAGCCUUCACGUUGUGGCAAAGCUUAACCCGGGCCGUAGCACCCCAUAUUUCGGCGUGCUCGCCCCCAAGCAGCCCCCCCACCACCUCAGGAGGCCGGGUGCCUGAGGCGGCCUCCCCCGGAGGCUGAGGCGGCGCUCGGCCUCCCCCUGGCGGCCUCGACCGGCAGCGUUGCGGCCUUUGUCCCCAGCCUGAGGGCAGCCUCCAGGCCUGAGGGCUCCGGGGCUGCUCCCUCCUGCCCCCAAGGCCA
Molecule: long non-coding RNA, 1571 nt
Organism: Anas platyrhynchos (mallard)
Lineage: Eukaryota; Metazoa; Chordata; Aves; Anseriformes; Anatidae
Source: RefSeq, a predicted model, not a curated record